ACCGCAAUGCAAAAAAAACUAACUCCGAUGCAAUUAAGACUAAUAAGGAUUUCACAACGAUAGUUAUCAUAAUAACAAGGAAUAUUACGGCAACAACACUCAGAAUUAAACAGUUAGAACAACUAUAGAGAAAAGUAUUUCAACCGCGAACUGGACGCUUUUCCGUAACUAGCCAAACAAUUAACGAGGCAAACAUACAGUCUCAUGGACGCAUAAACAUUGAUGAUACAAAACCCAUGAGUGUCCCGACAAGAUAGUCCUCCACUGAGGUGAAAAGAACUGUUCUGACAACUAUUUGAGGGUACUGGUCCAACUUCUGAGCUCCGAAGCGAAGUCCUGUUCCAUCUUUUUACAGGACUGCAUUGAGUACUGUGAAGUUUUUCUUUCUCACGACUGCCGAAAAAGAAGAGGAGCAAGAAGAGGAUCUACUAUGGAAGGACAGGCCCCUGCACGGCCUGCAAGGUUUCUGGGAUGCAGUGGUAUCUCCCUCUGUGCCUGAGUACUCGUAUCCUCAGCUUUAGCUGCGGCUGCUAUCGACUGUUGGAGGAUCUGCUUGGAAAACAUCAUCCACUGGAACGAUGAUGAAGCUGUUUGGUAGGACUUAAAGGACCUGACUGUAGGAGCGCAGACCUCUAAGACCACAUUCAAUGAGCUGUGAAUGUUUUUGUUCUCUCAUUAAUGUCACACAGAAACUGACCUAGAAGCAGAUUACAUGAAUGUCUCAGAGACCUCCUACAUUGUGUUAAUGAACUGCUGCACUUUGCUCCAGUUCAUGAAAGAAAAACUGGAACUUUGUCUUUGUGUCAUUUAAAGCUCCAAACAAAAUGACAGAAAUCUGGACUUUAGUUUUUGAAUUAAAAUGCUUUAAAUCAGAGGACGCUUCACUCCAACUUCUGCUGUGCCAUACGGCCGCCUGUCAUUCUAUUCAUAGUUAAAUUCAAACACACCGUUUGGGGUGUGAGCUGCAGCAUUCUGAGUGUGCCUGUGUCAGUGCUUUCUGAUUUCUGGUAAC
Archocentrus centrarchus (flier cichlid) is the source of this 1012-nucleotide long non-coding RNA. RefSeq lists it as uncharacterized. The record is from RefSeq and is a predicted model, not a curated record. NCBI's taxonomy places the organism in Eukaryota, Metazoa, Chordata, Actinopteri, Cichliformes, Cichlidae. The transcript is spliced from 3 exons.